GAUGAAGAACGUAGCGAAAUGCGAUAAGUAAUGUGAAUUGCAGAAUUCAGUGAAUCAUCGAAUCUUUGAACGCACCUUGCACCCUUUGGCAUUCCGAAGGGUAUGCUCGUUUGAGUGUCAUUGUACUCUCACACUCCCAAUUGCUUUGGAUUGGGAGCGGUGGACUUGGGUGUUGCUGCUUGACUGAGGCUCACCUGAAAUAUGUUAGUGCACCUCUUGAUUGGACAUAGUACGGCGUGAUAAGUGUCUUCGCCGGCUCCUCGCAACGAGGGUGGCCGAUCGGGAGCUCUGUUGCUUCAAACUGUCUUCGGACAAUCUUCUGGCGACUUGACCUCAAAUCGAGUAGGACUACCCGCUGAACUUAAGCAUAUCAAUAAGCGGAGGA
RNAcentral lists this unclassified non-coding RNA (385 nucleotides) under soil metagenome. Its description in RNAcentral is "partial contains 5.8S ribosomal RNA, internal transcribed spacer 2, and large subunit ribosomal RNA". The stretch from base 1 to 120 matches the Rfam family "5.8S ribosomal RNA", at positions 35 to 154 of the family's 154-position model. The record is from RNAcentral.